UGAAGCAAACUCUACACGCGAGCCAUGAUACAUUCAUUCGUCUCUCUCUCUCUCUCUUAAAAGCAGCUUAAACUCUCUUUCUCAAAGUGCCGCGGGUUAUUAUCGGGCGGCGCGUCGGACGCGCUUACCAGCGCGCCCGAUUGUGAACCCGGUUUUCACGGUAAGUCCUCAUGGACGCGGUCACGCGGCACGCGUUUGCGCCCUCGCACGAGAAUCUGCACGCACACCGGCACAACGAAUGGAUCGUAUCUGGCAGCGCCUGCUGUCUGUAUACAUGAGUCGACAGCAGCAACGUGCACGCCCGACGCGAUUAAAGCGUUACACACCGAGUGAGAUCGAUGUGGGUCGCUAUGUGAGAACCGGAAUGCGUCUAUUAUUUUCGAUAUACGUACGAUACUCUUACGAGCAGAGUAUCCUAUGAACGAACGAAGGGUCAUCGGGUUCGUUGCUGCCCCCCCUAAUACAAACUGUACAAAUGUAUCUUUCUGCAUUGAUUUAAUUACGCAAUUCCACUUAACCGCACUAAAUAACGGACUCUACAUUGUUGUACGUGCAUCGAGCAGGCUCGUAGAACUACAUAACCUGACAGAGCCAAUGAUCCUCAAUGAAGAAGGUCACGGAGGCAAGAAAGUGCGACUCCCCGAUUCUCCGGUUCAAACUGUCGUAUUCGACCAGAGCCGCAGAGCGCGUAAGCCUGUGAUUAUCCGAGGAAGGUAAAUCCGAGCGGAUGGAGACGCGCGAGAGAAAGAGAAAAAGAUCGACCUGCAAAACGAAUGGAAGUUAAUGCCCGCGAUCUCUUAUGAAUCGCAUGCGAAUAUUCGUGUAGUAUCUCUAUCCACCCUGGGAAGCCGCGCGCCGACGACCUCCGUGGAAGUCCACUCUCUCGAGCCGUGCCGUUCCGAGUUCCAGCGGAUCGGCAUGUUCACAGGAUGUUCACCGAGGCGAACAUAUCGCGGCGUUCGCGACGCGGACAUUUGUUCUUGGGCGCCCGAACUUAUCUCGCCUUCGCACGGCACUGGACCGUCGGGACGAGUCGUGGGGCGCACUUUGCCUUGUGUGCGCCAGCCAUCAAUGACAAGGACGGACAGAGACCUCGUAGGAGAAAGACAAAGACGCAGAAAGUAGAGACUCGAGCAGUGGGGAUGGCCAGUGCUGAUGUGGAGGGGCAAGGAGCGACGCUAUUGGCUGAUGCCGUGGGUGGAGGGGGUAAUAACGGGAAUGUGGUGGGGAUGAGUCUACGUACGCGACAGACAAGCGGACCUAACUGGUCGGGCGACCGUAGCAUCAGGUUCAAGUUGUGCACUCUCUCUCGAUCCCCGGUAGUCGAGCCUCCGUACUCCAGAGGUACGGCUCGUCGCCCGGACGCAGUCCGGUUGGUGGUCGCAAACUCUCUGGUUCCUUCCGAUUCGCGUGCACAAUCCCGACAGUACCACCGUCACGAGGACACUGCCGUAUCGACCGUGCAGAGGAAACGCGUGACCGCUCUACGUCGGACUCUCUCGUUUUCGCCCUGCUCAACCGAAGGCCGUUCAUAUAUGCGGGAGGGGAACACAUACACACACCCUCUUCGGCCCUCAGACUCUUCCUACCGUAGCUCCCUCAAUAACGGUCUCUGCCGUGUGAAGACCACGUUCUGCCCUAUGACCUCCGAGGUCGAACCCCUCUGACAUGGACUGACUUCUAUUGUCAACGGCUCGACCUGCACCUAGUGGGAUCGCGCGGACGUUUGCUGUGGUGAUUUGUGAUAGAGGAGGCAGCCAUACUUUUGGAUUUCGUGUGAUCAGUGCAUGCCGUUCUGUGACGUGGGAUGCGUGUGGAUCCGUGUGUAUUACUGACGAUGGGAACGUAGCACGUGGAACAAUGGAAAUGCCAUACUUUCCGAGAAACACGUCUUUAAACGUGCAGUUAUGAAAAUUUCGAAAAACAGGAAACAGCCGUUAAAGAAGAACCUCAGUCUCGUUUCCGCUCUGCUUAAUUCUCCAAAUUACACAAAUUGUUUAUAUCCCAAGUAAAUUGAAACGUCAAAAUAUAAUAAAUCACAAGUUAUUAAGGACUACCGUAGACGAGUCUUUAACUAAUGAAGAGAGUCACGUAAUAUCCUCUGGUACGUGAAUCAUAAAUGUAAUUAAAAAAAGAAGUAAUAAGAAUAAAAUGCACGAGUCGAUGCACAAGAAUAAAAAUGGCGAAGGAAGCACGAAGGGAACCUGUCUGCUCAUGGGCGCGUAUGGAGACCGAGGGGAAAGCGCGGCUCUAGACCUUGCAAUGCCAUUCGAUCGGGCAACGUUCUCGCGUGGUGCAGCGCGCGACCACACGGCACGGUGUGAGUGUGACGGCAACACAGCCUUCCCCGUACCCACGCGCCAAUAGGGUCGCACACUCAUUAGCCCAGUGGCGCAAGUCCCUCCCCACCACGAGGCUCGAUCAGCUGCUCGGCCACGCGGCGUUGCCUCGUCUCGCUCGCGCGCCGGCAUCCAGUGCCAAAGCCCACGCGGGGUUCUGUGUACUCCUGAUGCGUCAAGUCACUGGUGGCGCAGGGUCGGCCCAACUUGGCCCGGCGCCCUGUACGUUUUAUCAUCGGUAAAGAAGAGGUCUUCUCGCCUCCCCGUAAAACGAAAAGUGCGAAAUUUAUUAAUACGCAAAUGUAAGAUCCAAACGGUAACAGCUGUGAAAAUUAUUUUUCUUAUUUUUAUCAUUCCUGAUGUACGCUCCUCGUAUCCCUAACGUUGCGGCUUACACUCUCGAAAAGACCUCCAGAAUGUAUUACCAUGCAGGGCUCUCAAUGUACGCGCUAUGAAAAUAUCUAUUGUGAAGUUAUGGCAUAUCAUAGCACGGACCGGUGCUCGGGUCAACAAGCGCGUGCCAACGGUCUACGUGGCACAAUGGGGAAAGUCAAUAGUCGGGGAGACACAUGCUGCCCGUGUGUUGGACCUUUUGGCGUUUACUCUUCUAGAGAAUUUCUAGUAUUACAAAAAGGUACGGAAAAUAAUUGCGCGUAAGGAUGAAGAGACGAAUUCCGAUUCAGAGAGAAAGAGAGUCUUCUCAGUGUCUAGAAAAAUAGUUCAGAUAGAUAUAACGCAGUUCGUACAGGUGGAGCUGUGUCCUUAGUAGUUUAGGAAUCAAAGCACCCGGCGGCGCCACUUAAGUGAUACACAAUGGCUCCCGGCACACGUUGUGCCCUUUCUAGCUGUGCGCCCUGUGAUUGUCAGUUUACACGAAACCCGUAGAGCGUCUGUGGACGCGGCGUAAGUGCGACCGGCCCAUGUAUAAUGGGAGUCAAUUCGUGCACCCGGUAUAAGGUAUAUCGGAAGAUCACGGGAGUCGAGUUUAUGCCGCACGAGGGCGUUGUUAUCGGAGACCUCUUUUUAUUCACCGCCAUCUUUCAUUAGGUACACGUGUACUAUCCUGUGUAUAGAUCCAAUAGGGAAAGCCACGGCUCUCGUCGAAUCUCGGCCAUUUUCCACUCUCCGUAGAAUGCACUCUGCAACUGGUAUGUUUACAGAGCAUGAAAUCCCUAGAACCAGUGAGAUCUGUAUUACAACAAAUCCAGACUAGAAAAACUGUUUGGAUCGGAUCCUAAAGUUUUCCUAAUGUUUAUUUAAUCCACUAAAUUCUUUCUUUUUUUUUAACCAGGCACACAAUACAUCGCGUUUGCGCGUGCCAUCACGUGACAGCUUAUCGAGCCAUCCCUGUCAUCCGGUUUACUUCACGUCACGCGUAUAUGCAGCCAGUUUCAAGUAUUAUAAUAGAGUACGAUCUGACAUGACCUGAUAUCAGGAAUCUAAUCGGAGUAACCAUCAAGCAUAUACGUACACGUUCGUUCAGAUAGUAUCCAUUCGACCACAAGCCGAUCCAAUUAGUAAUGUCAAACCCUUUGAACAUUUCAAUUUGAAAGGACAGCCAUCAGGCAACCUCUCACGUUUUAAUUCCAAAUCGCUGUGCUGAAGUUUUGCGCGCGAUUAAUGACGCCGCCUCUCUACUCCGUGAAUAAAUGCAUAUAAUCGUCGUAUAAUAGUCUUUUGCCUUUCGCCCAUAGAAAACGAUAGCCGUUUGCGCAUGCGCCAAGACUUUUGAAUAUCUCCCGCGCUCCUCGCCCACCAUCAACGUACCGCAACCAGUCACCCCCCGCUGCUGCUUAUACGAACGACCCGUUGAAUCGCUGAAACCCUGACGGCUGAAACCACGCCGGUCUAACGGAACACAGACGGACUCUCGAACGUGCAAUCGAUAUUCCACGGCGAUUAAGUCUAUUGCAUAAUACAAAAGUUUAUGGCUGGUGG
Molecule: long non-coding RNA, 4277 nt
Organism: Cephus cinctus (wheat stem sawfly)
Lineage: Eukaryota; Metazoa; Arthropoda; Insecta; Hymenoptera; Cephidae
Exons: 3
Source: RefSeq, a predicted model, not a curated record